RNAcentral lists this unclassified non-coding RNA (383 nucleotides) under uncultured Phycisphaeraceae bacterium. RNAcentral's name for it is "contains 16S-23S intergenic spacer region". The record is from RNAcentral. Lineage: Bacteria; Pseudomonadati; Planctomycetota; Phycisphaerae; Phycisphaerales; Phycisphaeraceae.
UCCGCCUUGACGGCGGCAGUCUCGCCAGAGUGCCCAACUUAAUGCUGGCAACUAGCGACAGGGGUUGCGCUCGUUAAUGGACUUAACCAAACACUUCACAGCACGAGCUGACGACAGCCAUGCAGCACCUGUGCACGUUGUACCCUUGCGGGCCUCGCUCCUGUUUCCAGGAGUUAAUCCGUGCAUGUCAAACCCAGGUAAGGUUCUUCGCGUUGCUUCGAAUUAAGCAACAUGCUCCACCGCUUGUGUGAGCCCCCGUCAAUUUCUUUGAGUUUUAGCCUUGCGACCGUACUCCCCAGGCGGCACACUUAGCAAUUUCUCUACGACCAAUACGGGGUGAAACCCGCACCGAUCCAGUGUGCAUCGUUUAGGGCGUGGACCAC